UUUGUUGAGUUUUUUAAUGAAAAAGGACAAAUAAAUGAAAAAUCUAGAAAGUUAUAGAUAAAAUAAGUGUUUCUUUGUGUUUAUUCAGUUUUAUUUUUUCCUUUUUUAAAAUCAAGUGUUGUUAUCUCAAUUGUAAUAUUGUUAAUGUUAUUAUUAUAAUUAUGGUUAUUGUUACAAAAAUGUUCUGUUAGCAGAAGUCACGUCAAAAUUAAAAACUUGGCACAUAAAAUGGUGAGCGUACUCUAAAACAAGUGGCAAUUAGAUUUUUUUUUUCUUUUUCUGAAUUAAUGUUGAGCUUGACACUGUGUACUGUGUAUGUGUGGAUAUGCGUGUGUGUCCAAUGACCAAACACAAUCCUACAAAGAUCAUGACAUUCAAUCAAGCUAUAAUUCUCUUCCACUUCCAACCGUCUCAUUUCUUAAUGUUACAGCUCUGUUCCUUAAGUGGCACCACAAUGUCAACAUCAUUGCCCUGUUUCCAUGGAAAUAUCUUGCCCAAAUAUUUCAACAUCUAGCACUGAAUAAUCCAGUGUCAACCGAUGAAAAUCCAGUCUAGCGCCUUCCAAAAAGCCCAAUCAAUUUAUGUCAAUACAAAUAUACAACAUAAAAUGAAAAAGGAACCUUGGUCUUUAGUCAAACAUAUGUGUUGGCUUUAUUCUGUCUGUUUUAAACAAGCCUAAUACUUAAUACAUAAUUAAUGUUACUGUGCAAAUGGCUUGUUUUUUCGUGAGUAGUUGAGGGAAGUGACAGACAACAAUCAAAACAAUCAAAUAAUCAGAUAAUUUAGUGAACUUCUUGCUCAACAACCUCACGAACUUUUAUUGUUGCUACUAUAAUUUGAAUUAUUUAUAAAUGUACUAAUACAUAAAUCCAGCCAGUUGUACUGUACUGUAAAAACAUAUCCAUACUCAUUAAUUAAAGCACCCGUGGAAUAGUGUUCAGUCAUGCAGAAAUAAAGAGAAAGAAACACAUGGGUUUUAUUUAAAUUAUGACUUUGAAGGAUACAAAAAUCCUCAAAAAAAAACUGUUAUUUUUCUGCACAAAUAUUAUCAGUUGCAUUUUGCAAUCUAUCAGACUUUCACAGAUGAUACAAGACAAAAGUAGGAGCCUCUGUAGAUGAUAUGCUAGUUUUGUGCCAGUUUAUUAUGGCCCUUUUUAAAAUAAAACUAAAGAAAUCAUUUUUAGUUUGACCUGUCACCCAUUUGAGCUCAGAAUGUACUCUUAGGCAAUUUUUUUCAGUAUAAUAUAUGUGCCUCAACUUAAACAUGUUCUUUUGGGUAUUCCUAUAUUGCCUUUUAUUGUUUAAUGGUAGAAUCAACUAUUACAAAUUAAUUUAAUUACCAGAGUAAUAAGAGUUUACAAAAGUGGCAAACGUGCAUUUUUGCUUAAGAUUUGGUAAAUUAUUUAUUUGUAAAAAAUGUGUCAUAUUGUAAUGAUUAUAUGGGGAUAUAAGUGCAGGAGCAACAGCUUUAGUUCUGGAAUCUUACAAAAAAAAGCAAAUGAAAUCUGAUCGUUUGCCAAAUCUGCAGUCCAAGCAAAGCCAGACAGUCACAAAAUAGUUCCAAACCACAAGAUGAACAGCAAGAAGAUCAGGAGGGCAAGAGGAAGUCAAAGUCAAACACCGGAAAACAAAGCAAACACUCAGAAUGGCAGGACACUCGAUUCUUUGGAAGAGUUCCAUGUGCUGUUCUUCUUGGUCGUUAGCAUCCACCUAAUUGCAUGACGCUCCCCGGAUCAUUACCUCCAUCUGCUGCUUUAAGUGUUGGUGUAAGACUACGGACUGUCUGCGGCUCUGUCCACGUGCUCGCCAAUUGAUAGGAGUUCCCCCUUCUAGAAUGAAACAUUUGGAAAAUAUAGUGAUACCUACACCUGUUCAUUUGUCGAUGUUAGUGCCAGAGAUGUGACUGUGCUUUCUGCUGUUGUAUCACGGUUGUUCCUCUAUUGCCAGUAACGGUAUUGAAAUACAACUGCAGUUGGUAAUCCUUCGACAAAAAUUGCACUAUGUAUGCAUAAGAAUCACAGCAACUGUGGGAAGAAAAAAAUAAAAGGAAAAAAGGUUUUGUAAGCUGGCAGUAAAGCGAAAUAAAAAAACACAGAAAUUGUCAAAUUAACAAUUAAUGUGGUAAAGGGCCUUGUUAAAUAAGGUAAAAAUUUCACUGUCUGCAGUGUGAAAAGUACCUUUGUUUUUCACAGGUGCUUUGUGAUCAACUUACUUAACUGUUAGGCCUAUUUAUAAUGUAAGAUGCUUUAUUUUAGCUUACCUACAACUUCAGGACACUGAUAGCUGAACCUGCAUAUUCUCAUUCUGAAUUAAUAAGGAUCUUGAAUCUAUAGAACAGAAAAUCAUGUUAUAAGUAACCAUUUACACCUUUUCCAAACGGGCUCACAAUGGUUUAUCUGUAAAAGUGGGAAUAUCGGCGAGCAACUAACUAUAUUUUUGUAUUAAAGAAAUUCAGAUCAUUUCACAGAGGAUUUUUUACCCUGUUAAGUAGAAAGAAUAGCAUGCUAAUGUCUAGCCUCAGGUUAGAGGGCAAAUUAUUUCCAUGGCCAAAUAGUUAGGGCUAGCAAACUUUUUUGUAACACAGAGAUAUAAAAGAUUGUUAUCUGAAAAUGCCCAAUCCUCACACACCCAGAAUCCAGACAGGGUUAGUUAUGUGACAGACACAAACAAGCUAAGGUCAAGCACAAUUUGAAGCUUAUUUUAAAUCUGAUGUCAUCCAAACACAGUAAUGUAAUUCAUACUUGUUUCAUGUUUUUCUUUUUCCUUCAGAUGUCGAAUAUUCAUUACACAGGUUCUCUCAAAGUCCCUUGCUACAAACAGCACUCUAACUGUUCUUAAAAAGCACUAUAAUUGCCAGAAAAGGUAAUAAGCGUUUGUGAUACGCAGGUGAUGAAAGGCGGGAUCUUCAGGUAAAUGUGAUAUAAGGCAGUAUCUGCAGUACAGGAUUUAGCACUGUGUCACAGAAAAAGAGACUGCAGAGGUGCAUUUGUGGUACACAAAGUGUUUAAAGGUAAAUGCGCUUAAAGGGAUGGGAUAAGGGAGAUACAGUAGAAGGACUCAUCAAUUUAGUAGAAAAGUUAAUAAAGCAGGAAGGCUAUUGAAUUUAUUUUUUCUGUUUUUCUAUUUAUUUAUUUAACCAAACUGAGUACAAAUGUUAGAUUUUAGAAUUUAUUCAGAUCAGCAAAAAUAAUUUGGGUCGAAAAACAAAGGUAGAUGAUAAUUCAAGUCAUAUAUGUAUUUUUAAGUACAUUAAAGUUCAAUGGUAGACUUGCAUAUCACCUGAAUGAGAACUAAAAAAUAACUAAUUAUUGUACAGUAGGUGACAUUGAAUAAUGGGGUAAUUUUCAAGACAAUGGUCACCUCAACGCAUUCAUUUGGUUACAAAGGAAGGACAUUGAUCACUUAUUGUAAUCAUUUCCUAUACCCUGUCGAUAGAGACAGAAAGCAGACAGGAAUGUGGAGCUGUCUCUGGUGUCUGGGAUGCAUCUUCGUCCUCUCCUGGGCCUCCUCGGAAUCUCGUGUCUUAAAGUUUGUGGCAGUUGUGUUUCGCCACGGGGAUCGCUCUCCUAUUGAGUCAUUUCCCAGCGAUCCUCACAAAGAGGAAAUAUGGGCACAAGGAUUCGGGCAGCUGACAGAGUUAGGCAUGAGGCAGCAGUAUGAACUAGGGCGGUUUUUAAGGAAGCGCUACGCCGGCUUCCUUGGCGACGACUAUGACGCCCGAGAGGUCUAUGUACAAAGCACCGACUAUGACCGUACUUUGAUGAGCGCCCAAGCUAACCUGGCCGGGCUCUUCCCCCCAAAUCGGCACCCCCCCCCCAUUAGCCCCCAACUGCCUUGGCGCCCCAUUCCUGUGCACACCACUCCCAAGUCCCAGGACAAGCUGUUAAAAACACCUGCCAAACAUUGUCCCAGAUUCAGAGAGCUGAUGACAGAAACAUUUUCCAGUGCAGAGUAUCAGAGAGCACUGAAGACUUAUAAGGACUUCAUCCAGGAAAUUUCAAAUCACACUGGUUACCCGGUAGACAGGCUGGUUAUGCGGAAAAUCUGGAGGGUGUAUGACACACUGAACUGUCAGAGAAUUCAUAACCUCACCCUGCCCGGCUGGGCAACCCAGCACGUGUUUAAUACCUUGGAGGAAAUCGCUUCUUUUGAGGUCAUGUACAGUGUGUUCACCUACAAGCGGAAAGACAAGGCCAGACUGGCUGGGGGAGUAUUGUUGAAUGCCAUCCUUGGGAACUUCACGAGCGCUGUGAAGAGGGACAACGAAUUGAAGCUUGUUAUGUAUUCUGCGCAUGACUCCACGCUCAUCACCCUCCAGGCUGCCCUCGACAUCUACAGCGGCCGCCUGCCGCCUUACGCUGCCUGUCAGCUCUUUGAGUUUUACCAGGAGAAAAAUGGGUUCGUAACGUCGCAAGAAAACAUAAAUACAGUACUGGAGUUAUGGGUGCAUGUGUAGCUUUAUUAUUUAAUACAUUAUCCAUCAAUCCUCUGUAACCACUUAUCCAGUACAGGGUUGUCUUGAGCUUAGUGCCAACGUUGGGCAAUUUAGAACGUGGGACAGAAACACUUUAUAUUACCUGCUAUGUUUUAUCAGUCUCUGUUUCAGUGUAUUUUGGGAAACUUUCUACUCGCUCUUCACACAAAGCUUGUGGUAUUGUGCAAUCACUGCAAACCACAUAGCUGCUCAUGGUAUCACAGUGUGGCUCGCUUUAGAACUCCAUCUCAGCCUUUGCUUACGUGAUGCUGGUGGAGGAAAACGUUUCCUGACUCGCUCCUGCAAAAUAUCCCAAAGUGGCUCAAUAAUAUUCAGAUCUGGUGACCGUGCAGACUCUGGGAGAUGUUCAACUUGAAUUUCAUAUUCAUCAUACUACUCUGUCACCAGGAUGUAUUCCAUCUCCUUGUUUUACCGAAAUGACUCAGCCCAUGACCCCUACCCAACCCCUGUGCCCGGCUGUCCUGUAAACCCAUGUCCGCUCAUCAGCUUCACUGAGGUUA
Molecule: non-coding RNA, 4995 nt
Organism: Paramormyrops kingsleyae
Lineage: Eukaryota; Metazoa; Chordata; Actinopteri; Osteoglossiformes; Mormyridae
Source: RefSeq, a predicted model, not a curated record